UCUAUAGAUAAUAAUUCGAUGUUAAGCCCAACCCUUAUUCAUGUGACCUUUACUCGUCAGUUCCCAAUGCGCAAUCGCACAUUGUGCCUCGAAGGGAAAAUGGUCGAACAGGGGAAUGUUAUCGCGGAAAUGGUACGCGAAUUAACAGUUUCAGCGAGAAAAGAAACAAAAAAGAGGUGCAGACAAGUUAUUGUAAAUUAAAAAUAAAAAACGUCGAUGAGAUCGGUCAUUAAAAUCACUCGAAACACCUGCGACGCAGGCAAAGUCAAACAAAAGUAGCCGACGGUUUGCGUAAUGUUUACAUUUCUUAAAUUUUCCAGAUCACAUGAAAAAAAAUCUCAACGUGUACAUAAUUGUCAAAAAUAUGUUUAUAAAUUUACGGGCAGUAAUCUCCCACCUUAGAAGAAAUUAGAAAUCAACUUCCUAAACUUAAGUAUUAUUCUUCAAGUGUAUCCUUCAUGGAGGCCC
This 468-nucleotide long non-coding RNA is filed under the name Mytilus galloprovincialis (Mediterranean mussel). The record is from RNAcentral. Lineage: Eukaryota; Metazoa; Mollusca; Bivalvia; Mytilida; Mytilidae.